This 1301-nucleotide long non-coding RNA is filed under the name Triticum aestivum (bread wheat). Its description in RNAcentral is "long non-coding RNA (TAES_LNC023989)". The record is from RNAcentral. Lineage: Eukaryota; Viridiplantae; Streptophyta; Magnoliopsida; Poales; Poaceae.
GGUAAGAAUUUUAACAUGUGUAAGUUUCUCCAUAGUCUUCAUUUGAAUCAUCUUCUAGUGUACAUAGUGGUAUUUCUUUAUAGAGGGAGUAAUUACAUAUGGACACACUUUCUUUUCGAAUAGAUUUGCCUGCAGUUUUUGGAUUCAUAAAAUAACGACAAUUAUUUAACACAUGUAGAAGAUGAGAAGUGAAAUACCUGAUCAUUGAGAAGUUUGUUCUGUAUAACCUUUUUUGCUUCAUUCGUCACUUCUGUUCCUUGGAUUUCCAGUUUGCUUUAUAAAGAAAAUACUUGCAUUAUACUUUUGGUAAACUAUUUGAACUUGUUUUCCCAUCUGGAUCCUGCUGGAGGUGGCUUGAUUUCGUGUAGAAGAUGGUACCUGCUAGAGGUGGUGUUGUCGCUAGAUGGAACUAAUGAUGUAGGUUGCCUCAUUGCUGGCUGGAGUUGAUCGGACAAUCCUCAAUAUUAUGUACAAUGUCCUACAAGCUCAAUAGUAUUUAGUGGAAAUAAAACUAAGUGGCUUGCCGAAUUGAGCUUAAACUUGUUAGUUGGGCAUAUUUUGGCAACGCAAAUAUAAACUUAUAUAUGUGCUAUUAAUUAGAACAAUGGGAUUCAUGAAAAGAAUGGGUGGAUAUGAACUUUUAGGUGUGCUACGGAGUAUUAUUAUUGAUUAAAGAAUAGAACAGUUCUUGAAAAAAAAGGCGUUGCAUGCAAAGAGCGGUAGUAUAGGUUUUAGAGAGUCAAUCUAAUACCUGCCUUGGCUUUGGUUGCCGCUAACGCUGCAUAGUGCAAGAACAAUUCCAAUGGAGAUGGUGGCUGUGCUAGAGCAUACCAAUUCUUUUUUACUGAUCCGUCAGGUCUAAGACCUGUGGCUGCUUGUCAGGUCCAACAUCCGCAUCAAGCAGCAGUGUGUCGGUUCGAUGGGAGAAGUCCAUUUUCAGUCCCUCAUGGAGGCCAUGCAGUUUAUGGCGUAUGUCUGUGUCCAGGCCGGUGCUUUGUGGACAGACCUUCAAAAUUCAGGACAUCUUGAAGGAGAAAGGUAGGGUUCUCUUGAGGAAGUUUGUGUGCCUCGGUGUAGCAGGAAUUGCUAAGUAUAUCUUGAAGGAGAUCUUUCUUUCUGGUAAAGUAUGUUUUGUUUAUGUAGAUGUCCAUCUGUACUAUAAUCUGGUAGUAAUGAAACAAUAGUUUCUUCUCGGAUGCAUGUUCUUUUUUCAUGUAAGAUGUAACAUCAGAUUGAAUUGAAAAGGGAAAUAGACAUGGCGCUUCAUGAACUUCUAUACGUUCUACUUGUAUACGUUCAAC